This 154-nucleotide ribosomal RNA is filed under the name uncultured bacterium. RNAcentral describes it as "partial 16S ribosomal RNA". It matches the Rfam family "Bacterial small subunit ribosomal RNA", at positions 1345 to 1500 of the family's 1533-position model. The record is from RNAcentral.
CGGAUCAGCAUGCCGCGGUGAAUACGUUCUCGGGCCUUGUACACACCGCCCGUCACACCAUGGGAGUCGGUAACACCCGAAGUCUGUAGCCUGACGCAAGAGGGCGCAGCCGAAGGUGGGAUUGAUGACUGGGGUGAAGUCGUAACAAGGUACC